GACGAACGCUGGCGGCGUGCCUAAUACAUGCAAGUUGAGCGAUGAAGAUUGGUGCUUGCACCAAUUUGAAGAGCAGCGAACGGGUGAGUAACGCGUGGGGAAUCUGCCUUUGAGCGGGGGACAACAUUUGGAAACGAAUGCUAAUACCGCAUAAUAACUUUAAACAUAAGUUUUAAGUUUGAAAGAUGCAAUUGCAUCACUCAAAGAUGAUCCCGCGUUGUAUUAGCUAGUUGGUGAGGUAAAGGCUCACCAAGGCGAUGAUACAUAGCCGACCUGAGAGGGUGGACGGCCACAUUGGGACUGGGACACGGCCCAAACUCCUACGGGAGGCAGCAGGAGGGAAUCUUCGGCAAUGGGCGGAAGGCUGACCGAGCAACGCCGCGGGAGGGAAGAAGGGUUUCGGAUCGUAAAACUCUGUUGGUAGAGAAGAACGUUGGUGAGAGUGGAAAGCUCAUCAAGUGACGGUAACUACCCAGAAAGGGACGGCUAACUACGUG
RNAcentral lists this ribosomal RNA (497 nucleotides) under uncultured bacterium. RNAcentral's name for it is "partial 16S ribosomal RNA". It matches the Rfam family "Bacterial small subunit ribosomal RNA", at positions 28 to 507 of the family's 1533-position model. The record is from RNAcentral.